This 344-nucleotide long non-coding RNA is filed under the name Androctonus crassicauda. The record is from RNAcentral. Lineage: Eukaryota; Metazoa; Arthropoda; Arachnida; Scorpiones; Buthidae.
GCGCGCUCGCUGUGGUGUGAACCGGACUUUGAGAGUGUGAUAUUUUCAGAAACCUCCUCCCUUGUUUAUUGCUGUGAUUAAGGUCCAUGCCGUUGGUCGGGGAAAUCAUUGGAUAUUUGUUGUUUACUUUCUUUAAAUGGUUUUGUUUCUGGCUGCUAAUGGUUGAUUACACAUGCAGAAAGAAUGGGAUAUGUGAAACCUUGUAUAUUUUUUUAGCAACCAAGAACGGGGACGUAAUGUUUGGCAUAUUAUCAUUGCUCAUACAGUUCUGGAUGCACCCAAGGUUUGGUCCGGGUCGGCGUCGGACAGUUCCCUUCCUUCCCUUGUAAGAAAUACAAAUAGAC